UACACUACAAAACUAAAGAAAAAUAAGUGGGAAUUAUUUUGCAGUUGAAUUUUUUUAAAUAAAAACUAAAGGCAACUGAUAAUCUAAGCAGCAAGCGUUGAGGAACGGGGUGCAGCACUAUAAGAGAAAUGCGUUAUUUACAAAAUCCAA
Caenorhabditis elegans is the source of this 150-nucleotide non-coding RNA. The record is from Ensembl. Lineage: Eukaryota; Metazoa; Nematoda; Chromadorea; Rhabditida; Rhabditidae.